Molecule: ribosomal RNA, 491 nt
Filed under: uncultured bacterium
Lineage: Bacteria
Description: partial 16S ribosomal RNA
Rfam family: Bacterial small subunit ribosomal RNA
Source: RNAcentral
AGUGAACGCUGGCGGUAGGCCUAACACAUGCAAGUCGAACGGCAGCACAGUAAGAGCUUGCUCUUACGGGUGGCGAGUGGCGGACGGGUGAGGAAUACAUCGGAAUCUACUUUUUCGUGGGGGAUAACGAAGGGAAACUUACGCUAAUACCGCAUACGACCUACGGGUGAAAGCAGGGGAUCUUCGGACCUUGCGCGACUGAAUGAGCCGAUGUCGGAUUAGCUAGUUGGCGGGGUAAAGGCCCACCAAGGCGACGAUCCGUAGCUGGUCUGAGAGGAAGAUCGGCCACCCUGGACCUGAGACAGGGUCCAGCCCCCUACGGGAGGCAGCAGUGGGGAAGAUUGGACAAGGGGCGCAAGCCUGAACCAGCCAUACCGCGUGGGUGAAGAAGGCCUUCGGGUGGUAAAGCCCUUUUGUUGGGAAAGAAAAGCAGCAGGUUAAAACCCCGCUGUUCGGACGGUACCAAAAGAAUAAGCACCGGCAAACUUCGG